Long non-coding RNA from Hippopotamus amphibius kiboko, 951 nucleotides. RefSeq lists it as uncharacterized. The transcript is spliced from 3 exons. The record is from RefSeq and is a predicted model, not a curated record. Lineage: Eukaryota; Metazoa; Chordata; Mammalia; Artiodactyla; Hippopotamidae.
UUGCUUUACAAUAUUUAAAACUGAAAUGAUCUACUAAAUCAAUAUAAAAGUCAUUGAAAAAAAUCUCUUGUUUUUAUGUCAGCUAAGAGCCUAAGUACUUAUAAAAUUAAAAGUAUUUUUAAUAAAAGAAUUAUAAAAUCUGAAGGAAUAAAUUCACAUCUCUAAGAGCCAUUUCCAGUCUCCAAGCUAUUUGAGGCAACAUUAUAGAAAUAAUGAAACUGACAUCAACAUGCAGGUAAGAAGAAAUAAUCUGUGCUUAAAUCAGUUAUAUGUUAGGUAUUAUUAUUAGUGUGGGCAUUUUAUAUCCUAGUCAGUCUUCUCUUAAUUUGCUGUGGCUGUAAAAACAAUCUGCAAAUGUCAUAAGAUGAGUAACCAACGCCUUUAUACUAGAGGGGAGAAAAACUAUGAAGCUUAGUGAAAGCACAGGGAUUUGAUUCUCACUUAUAUUGAACCUGAUUUUAUAAGGAAAAAUGCCUAAGUAAAUACUAUAUACAUAACUAGGAGUUUAUAUUUUUUCAUAUCCUUUCACAUAUGUUUUCUUGUUUGAACUCCACAUCUUGUCAGACAGGUAGGUCAGGUGUAAUUAACUCUAUUUUUUAGAGAAGAAAUAAGUCAACAAGUUGCCUAAGUCAACAAGUUGAAACUGGGAUCCGUGAUCUUACUCCUCUGUCUUAUAUUUCAGCGACUAAAGUAUCCACUUCAAAAAGAAGCUGACGGAAACAUUCUAUUGAAUUCUAAAAGUCCAGAACCACUGAAAGGGUCUCAGAUACUUCCAGGACUCCUUGGGCACAUCCUGAGAACAUCUGAUUUUCAAGAUCAUUUCCCUGGUUCAUGCAAAAGUGAUCCUGAAGCAGCCCCUGCCUCCCAGUUGCUGUCAAUCAUUGAAGAUUUGACCCUGGUUUUGGACUCAGAGAGAACAGAGUUCACGUGCUCAUCCCUUCUUGUACAAGC